UAAAAUCUAAUUUACUUUUUAAAUUUUAAAUUUUAAAUUUUAAUUUUAUAUUUUGAAUUUUUAUUUUUAAUUUUUAAAAUUUUAUUUUUAAAUUUUGAAUUUUGAAUUUUGAAUUUUGAAUUUUAAAAUUUUAGAAAUUUAAUUGUUAUAAAUACUGUGGAAUUGUAUGAUAUGUAUCCAAACAGCUUAAAAAUGAAGCUGUGAAAUUUUUUUGUAGUUACAUGAUUCCGUAUUUCAUUUAGACCAAAAUCAUAGAAUAAAAAUUUCAUGGAGUUUUUUAACUAUGCAUCCAAACAGGGCCUAGUAUAAUUUUAUUUUAAUUUUACUAUAAGAU
Molecule: long non-coding RNA, 334 nt
Filed under: Ananas comosus (pineapple)
Lineage: Eukaryota; Viridiplantae; Streptophyta; Magnoliopsida; Poales; Bromeliaceae
Description: long non-coding RNA (ACOM_LNC018304)
Source: RNAcentral